CCUACGGGUGGCAGCAGUGGGGAAUAUUGGACAAUGGGCGAAAGCCUGAUCCAGCCAUGCCGCGUGUGUGAAGAAGGCCUUCGGGUUGUAAAGCACUUUCAGUGGGGAAGAAAGCCUUGGGGCUAAUACCCUCGAGGAAGGACAUCACCCACAGAAGAAGCACCGGCUAACUCCGUGCCAGCAGCCGCGGUAAUACGGAGGGUGCGAGCGUUAAUCGGAAUUACUGGGCGUAAAGCGCGCGUAGGCGGUCUGAUAAGCCGGUUGUGAAAGCCCCGGGCUCAACCUGGGAACGGCAUCCGGAACUGUCAGGCUAGAGUGCAGGAGAGGAAGGUAGAAUUCCCGGUGUAGCGGUGAAAUGCGUAGAGAUCGGGAGGAAUACCAGUGGCGAAGGCGGCCUUCUGGACUGACACCGACGCUGAGGUGCGAAAGCGUGGGUAGCAAACAGGAUUAGAUACCCGUGUAGUC
Molecule: ribosomal RNA, 465 nt
Filed under: Vreelandella stevensii
Lineage: Bacteria; Pseudomonadati; Pseudomonadota; Gammaproteobacteria; Oceanospirillales; Halomonadaceae
Description: partial 16S ribosomal RNA
Rfam family: Bacterial small subunit ribosomal RNA
Source: RNAcentral